Molecule: ribosomal RNA, 566 nt
Filed under: uncultured archaeon
Lineage: Archaea
Description: bacterial SSU rRNA
Rfam family: Archaeal small subunit ribosomal RNA
Source: RNAcentral
CGCGAAUCGCCCUUGGGGUGCACCAGGCGCGAAAACUUUACAAUGCCGGCAACGGCGAUAAGGGAACCUCGAGUGCCAGGUUACAAAUCUGGCUGUCGUGAUGCCUAAAAAGCAUUGCAUAGCAAGGGCCGGGCAAGACCGGUGCCAGCCGCCGCGGUAACACCGGCGGCUCGAGUGGUAACCGUUAUUAUUGGGUCUAAAGGGUCUGUAGCCGGCCGGAUAAGUCUCUUGGGAAAUCUGGCAGCUUAACUGUCAGGCUUUCAGGAGAUACUGUCUGGCUCGAGGCCGGGAGAGGUGAGAGGUACUUCAGGGGUAGGGGUGAAAUCUUGUAAUCCUUGAAGGACCACCAGUGGCGAAGGCGUCUCACCAGAACGGACCUGACGGCAAGGGACGAAAGCUAGGGGCACGAACCGGAUUAGAUACCCGGGUAGUCCUAGCCGUAAACGAUACUCGCUAGGUGUCGGCCACGGUGCGACCGUGGUCGGUGCCGUAGGGAAGCCGUGAAGCGAGCCACCUGGGAAGUACGGCCGCAAGGCUGAAACUUAAAGGAAUUGGCGGGGGAGCAC